Molecule: RNA transcript, 4401 nt
Organism: Oxyura jamaicensis (ruddy duck)
Lineage: Eukaryota; Metazoa; Chordata; Aves; Anseriformes; Anatidae
Gene name: WASH complex subunit 3-like
Exons: 4
Source: RefSeq, a predicted model, not a curated record
CUCCCCGGCCCCGCCGAGCACCGCCCGGGCCGGCCGCGCCGUCGGGGCGAGCAGAGGAGGAGGAGGACGAGGAAGAAGGAGGAGGAGGAGGAAAGAUCAAGUCUGGCACAGACCACAGAAACUGUCAACAACCCUGCCAAAAGAGCACAAAUACCACACCACCUAAAAAAGAAUUAGAGCUGCCAACAACGGAUCCAAGGAAUGAACAAGUAGACUGAAUUACUGCUCAUCUGUUUUGGGAAAGUUUGGAGCUGAGGGAAGGAAAUCUGCAACUCCAUCACCUGUAGGAGAGCACCAAGGGAUGAGGGUACAUGAAAUGGUAUGGACACUUCUCUUCAGUAUCACUCUAUUCAGUGUAGACCAAGAGGAAAUUUUAUUGAUUUGGUAUACUUUGGGGACUUGGUUACAGGUUGUAUAAUACUACUGUGAGAAACUAUUUUUAUUCUCAAGUAUACAUGACUACUUAUGACUACUUCUGUGCUAUGAGCUAACUACACAGGAACAGCAAAGACUUUUCUGGUUGAAAGAAAGGAAAUCCCAGUCUCUGCCCCACACAUGUUCACCAUAAUUGCCAUCUGUGUAUAAAAAUAUUUGCUUGGUUUGACUGAAUGUAUGUGUGUACUUCUCACAGAACACAGUAACAUCAACCAAAAUAAUACCUUGCAUGAAGCCAGAGAGUAUAACGCAUCAAAUGUUGCCCAAAUAUAAAACUGCAAUUCAGCAAGCAAAUAAACACACACCAACCUAGUGACUUAUCAAAAAUAAAAUACAUUCUCCUUAAAUGCAACCACAAAGGUGUAAUCUGGUCGUUGUAUUAGAACACAUACAUCAAAAAAGUACAUGCCAUAGCUUCCACGGUAAACUGGCUCUAUGAGAGUUUGGCACAUGUUUUCCUUUCCUGUGUUGCCUACCACCAUGGACUGAGAACUAUUUUUACAGAGAUUUCCAUUAGUUCAUACAAGCUAAAUACUCAUUUAGGACAUUCCCCUCAUUUAAGUCCACCAAUGUUCAUUAUGUAUUUUCUUUCAAAUAUCUAUCUAAACACUAUUGAUAAUACUUGCUUCUCUGUUGUCUUCACUCUGGAAGCUGUUUCAUAUUAAGAACCAAUUGCAAAGAAGCAAUUCUUCCUCAAUUCUUUUCAUACAUGCCACUUCUCAGAUCUUGCUCACAACUCCUUGAUUUCUGCCCUAGACAGGUUCAAAAAGCCUUUAAAGACCCAUUCUUUCAAUUCCCUUAAAAAUUACACACAUAUUGAGUGGAAUCCCUCUUACCUCAGCAGAAUCCCCUUCUUUCCUAAAGAACACAGACCUAGUUAUUUUGUGUAACUGAAACCCUUGAAUUACUGCAUUAUUCUAACUGUCCUUUGCUCUGCUGUAACUUUUCUUCCUGCGUUUUCCCACUUUUAAAAUAACAUGCAUUCCUUACACAGACCUAAAAUUAUUUCCCCACAGCUAUUCCUGAAAUUUUAAAGUGUUUAUUUGCAGUUUAAUACAAACAGUAUUUAUACAACACCUUUCAUAAAAAAAAAAAAAAAAAAAAAAAAAACUUAACACUUUAAGUUAAAUUUUACUGUAUGUCUGUGAAACCCCUCUUUAUUUACAACUUUAUUCCUUCUGGGUAAGAUUAUACCCAUGUUACAGAACCAGAAUCUGAGGCAGUGGUGAUCACAAAGAUGAUGGGCACGGCUUCACCCUUGGCUGAAUCUGAUCUGGGCUGCUCCUCAGAAGGAAGGCACUCCCUGCUUUCUCCUCCCUCAUCGUGUGUCCCUACAAACAGGGCUCCCAUAGCCAUGCCACUUGCCAAAUUAGGGGAUGGAUCCAGGUGAAAAUAAACAUCUUCUCUUUUGUUAGGUUGCUUUUCAGCUGGAACUAUUGCUUAGUUCAGCUGAUCAUGCCACCACACAGGCAGUUACUGGUGGUGUCACCACGAGGCAGGGAAAUAGCAUGGUCAGGGCAAAAGUAUAGCUCCCACUCCUUUCAACACUACCUUUAACUUAAACGUGCUUUGGAUCAUUGUACAACUGCAGCCAUAAAUUAGACAUAGGUAAGACAGCUGCUCUAAGAGUCACUAAUACACAAUGGUCUCAAGUUUUGCUCACCUGCUUUACUUCUGUCUUAUCUCCUGUCUCUUAUUCCAGCUUCUUGUCCCUUGUGCUGAUGCUAAGGCACAUCCGACCGCACAAGUGAAUCAACACAUUACCCCUCAGAAACCUAAACCAACAAAAAAUGUAUACUUUUUUUUUUUUUUUUUCCUGAUGGUUUAAUGAAUUUGAGUCAGCUUAACAAAGUGCUAAUUCAUAGGCAAGACAAGGGCUCCAGAGCUGGGAAGCUGGAGCAGGAAAGGAGAAAUAUCUCCUCUUUCCAGCAAGGAGUGACCCCUUAGACCAGCACAGAUCUCAUAUAACUCUCCACUAAAUGAAUUCUGUAAGAGACGCAGCUACUGAGUUGUGAGAAUUAACCCACAAAUACUACUCAUGUAGUGCUGUGCUUGCAAACACUUUGGACCUUUAUCUCAACAGCCUUAAAGACCAUUUGUCUUGCUCAUUGUUUGCCAGUAUUUGCUGACUUCCCAUUUUCUUUCUCAAUCUCUUAGUUCUUAAUAUCUUUCAAUUCACCUAUAAAGCUCCACUGAGUGUUUACUGACUCCCACAUUCCCGUUACCCAAACUCUGAAUCACACUGUUCUCUGUGCACUAAUCCCCUUCAUCUUCAUAAACUCUUUAACCUUUCACCCAAAUUCUUCAAAACUUUUCUCACAGUACAAAUGUUGUCCUCCUUUUAACUUUUUCUUCACUUAACUUUCCACUUAUGACCAUGUCCUUCAUUAACAUAUCCCUGAAUUGCCAGCCUUCCCCCGUUAACUUCCAGGAGAUUCAGUUUGCUUUCUCCACCAGGAAAGAAGGGCUACCUCUCUCCAGAUCCAAUAAUGGGCAGUGAUUGUACCACUGGACUUAACUUGCAGGAAACAGAAUCCCAUCCCCACAGCUUGAGACAUACAAAUCAACAGAGACCAUACAGCUACUGACUGUUAAAUUCAGUGUCACAGAGAACUGUCAUAAUCUAGCAUUUACCUCCAUUAUCAAGUGUUUUACAAAAAUCACAGCAUAAGUUUUAACCUGGAUUUCACCUUCUGUCUAUUAGCACUCCAUUUUAUAUUCUUAUCUAACUAGACUGUCUUAAUAGAUAAUGUUGGAUGAAAAAAAAAAAAAAAACACAUAUAAAAAGGCACAGAACGGGAGCUCAUCAAUAUUCUCAGGAGAAAAAUUUGAUUCAUCAUGGUUCUGAGUGUCCAAAAGUCCAAUGCUAUUAAUGUGAGCAAGAGUACCAGCUAAGCAGUAAAUAAAUGUCAUGUCUCAACAGCAAUAUGCCCCACUGAUUUGAACAAAGUUUAAGCAUCAUGCUAUAGCUCUGCUUUCAUGAAUCAGAGCCACUUUACAGCAACGCUUCUCUAGGAAACAGUAUAUUAUGUAUUGCCUAUAUGGCAAAACCAUACACACAAAAGCAUUCAUGAAAGACCCUCAGCUUUGCUGCCUAAAGAAUUAAUGAGAACUACACAAUUACAUAGACAUAUUUGCAGGCCUGAUCAGAGAACAAAUUGUACAUUUCUUUAAAAUAAGAAAAGCAACCUUCCUUAUUUUCAGUACAAGGAUAGAAUAUAUUUCACAAUUUUAGGACUUCUUUUCAUUAUUGGGGCACAUCUGGUUUACCACACUUUCUUACACAAAUGGUCAUUCAAAGAAAGAAACUCACAAGGAGAAUGUAGUCCCUAUCUUUGGGACCUUUCAUGUUUUUUAACAUUUGGUUAAGAAGCUUCCAAAAGCCAAUUUUAAUACAUUACUACUAAGGGAACAAAUUGGCCAUCCUGUCAACAAAGAACACCAAGAAGAUGACCAGUCUUGUUACAAGAUGGGCAAAGAUGAAAUGUGAUGAAUAUGCAGCUGAUGAAGGAAAUGCAUAGUGAAAACUUUUCAGGAUGGUACUCAGUCUGCGAGCAGAGGGCUCUGCAUUGCCAGCUGCCAGAGCUCAAACAAAGCCUUUGAUGAAAUCACAACUACCCUUGUCUCAGUUUCAAAAAAAAAAAAAAAAAAAAAAAAAAAAAAAAAAAGAGACUGAGGACAGUUUAAUUAUCUCAGAACCAUUACCAUCAGCAGCAGUUUCAUAAUCUUGAAAUGCUGCCAUUCUCAAAAGCCAUUUGCCUGGAAAAAAAAAAAAAAAAUCCUUAAAACACAAGAGACUGUCAUACUGUCCAAACAAUAGAGCAAUUCUUAUACAAUCAGACGCCAUAACUAAUUAUACAAAACAAAAACAAACCACCACCACCCCCACCUAUUAUUUUUAAACAAGGGAACAAAGGAUGUAAAUUUUAUCCAGAAAUAUUAGAUUUUAAAAGGAGUAAAAAUAUC